RNAcentral lists this long non-coding RNA (8226 nucleotides) under Malus domestica (apple). RNAcentral's name for it is "long non-coding RNA (MDOM_LNC017140)". The record is from RNAcentral. Lineage: Eukaryota; Viridiplantae; Streptophyta; Magnoliopsida; Rosales; Rosaceae.
CGGAAAAGAAUGGCGCAUCUUCAAACAGAAUCACAUGGCAACACAAAAGAAUUAUUGAAAACAUAAGAAGAUUCAUGAGAUAAAUGCAUGGAAAAGGUAUAAAUACAGAUUCUGGGUAACAAUUGACUAGUUAAGAAACAAUCCCAUUAGCCACUCAGUGUGAAAUAUGGACAAAGAUUGAGACAUUACUCACAGAAAGUGAUUCGGGAUAUCCACACCUUGUGAAGGCAACAAAGGGGUCAAUGAGAUAAUCAACAACCUUCCAAGCAAAAAUGAUAAGAUAAUAUCAAGAACACACAUAAUAUAAGGAUAUUCAAAAGAUUUAUUGUUUACUCUAAUAUUGCAAUGCAGUAUAUACCUCUUGCCCAAAAUGACGCUGAAAGAACCCACCCACGCUGCAAACGAUAGGUUGAAAAGAAGAUUCUAAGGAAAUCACUCCUUAAAAAGUUAACAAAGAAAGAGGAGACGGUUGUUGUCCUAAGACAGAGAAGACUACUACCUUUCUUGGGUGUCAUCAUCGGAAACUCCUUUUUUCUUCCAUAAAUAUGGCUCCAGAAUAAUCAGAAGCUGCAAUACAGAAAUGCAUAUCAAAGUUGAUGCCAAUGUAAAUGGUUUAUGCACGUGCACAAACACGAUAUUUUGCAUUGAUACUUGUCAUUACUAAACAGCAUUGCAACAUGAUUAAAUAACUAGGAAACUAACUCGUCCGACAUGCCAUGUGUUGUAGAAAACAAACCUUUGAUUGUGCUGAAAGAAAAUUGCUCUUGAUCAGCGCGAUUGGAUCGGUAGGUAACUGAUGUGAAAAUGGAGCAAAAGUGAUAGUCACAAUCAGGAACAUUCAACUACGUAAGGAAGUAAAAACCAAAAAGAAAAAACUGAAAACGAACGAAAAUGUAUUUCAUAUGCUUUCCUAUAUAACUAUAACAAGAUGCAACUGGCAAGACAUACCAGCACAGGCGUCCCGUUCCUUACAAUAUAACGCUUGGUCUGUGAAAUCGGCUGCAACAUCGGAAAACAAUGAAUUCAAUUAUUACACUAAAAGAAGCAUCAGCCACUUCCAUCCAUAAAUUCCGAGCUAAGUUUGAAGUUAAAAGCACAUUGCUUUAUAACGGAAAGCACAGCCGACGCUAGCACAGCACAAAAAACUAUAAUACACAUGAAACUAUUACAAACGAAAUCCUUACAAAUUGUUGCUUUUCUCUUAGUCCAAGAUUAUCAAGCAAAGUUUGGACCUCCGUUUCGCUCUCGGUCUGCGAAAAAACCUUAUGUCAGCAUAAAAUCAUAACGAAAAUUCAGAACUGCCCGGCAUUGAUUCAAACUAUUUGGUUACAAAACUCACCAUUAAGUUUGCUCCUUCAUCCCAAAUAAGAUCAUCACGCGAAACGCUUCUGAGGUUCCCUCCAGCUCUUCCCUCAGCUUCGAACACCGCGACGUCAAAACCAUGUGAUUUCAGCUUGUAGGCUGCAGCAAGCCCGCUUGAGCAAUUGCAACACAAAAUCAAAGUCAAAUUCUCGGAAAAAAAAUCAACCAAAAAUAAACAGACAAAUCACAUCUGAGAAUUAAUCAUGCUUAGCAUAAUCUGCAUGCAAAUGUUGAACAAGAUUACCUUACACCACCACCAACAACAGCUACUCUUUUAACAGAGCCUGAAAAGUGAAAAUUCCACAAAAUAAAUAAAAAAUGCAAAGAAAUUCCUAAUAAUUUUGCAUUUAUAUAUAUACACACACAUACAGAUAUAUAUAUACACACACACAGGGAGAAAGGGAGAGGUUACUGACUCUGUUGAUCUUGUUUGGUUGGUGAGCUCAUUAUUUGCGGUGAUGCUCUCUGAGACUGAGGCUCCAGAUCUGAAAGAAGAAGAAGAGUUGUGCACUUAUCGUGGGAUUUAAACACACUUAGCCGAUCUCCAACUAAAGGAGUUAAACACAGUUACGUCCAGAAUUAUAGUGCUCUAAAAAUUUAUCACGCCACAAUCAUAUACUAAUCGUGAACCGAAAGGACUAAACAUGGUCCCUCAAUAAUUUAUUAGUUUAGAUUUAUUCUUUAGAUUUCUUUGUUAUAUUAAUUAAACUACUGCUAUCGAAAGGACUAAAACUACAAUUGUUCCCUCAAAUAGUGUUAGGAUUCUAAUGGGAUUACUAGUAAAUAAGAUGGUUGUGAUUGUGCCCGAUGGCAUCAUCUGAGCGAUUGAGCUGUAAUACUUGUAAUAAGGUUGCUAUAUAGCUUGGUUUUGUAAGUAACAGAACAGUUAUGAAAUAAUAUUGGAAUUCCUUUUGUUACUCUCUCUCUCUCUCUCUCUCUCUUCGAGUUCUCUCGUGGCUUCUCUGAGUUAAGGUCGAUCGAGGAUCUAUCAUUGGUAUCGAUCCAGUCUUGUCUCCUUCAUCCCUUCUCCGUUGUCGUAUGACUCGUACGUCGACGAAGAAAGCUAUGGAAUUGAAGAAUUAGCUUGAUGCGAUAAACAACACUCUUAACAUGUUACUCCAAAGGUUCGACGCCGUGGAAAGGCAUCAAGAUUCAUCAGAUGCUCGAAUCGAAAAACUUCAUCGCGAUUUUCUGGAAAAAUGUGUAAUGGGUUGUCCGGGAGAAUCAUCGGAAGCAGCUCAAGCGUGGCGAUUCAAGAACUCAACAUCUCAACCUCCAUGAAUUGGGAUUUCAACCAAGACCCCAUUUGGUUAAACUUGAUUUUCCUCGCUUCCAGGAAGGGGAUGAUCAUCUUGGGUGGAUUUACAAGGCAGAGCAUUACUUUGAUAUUCCGGCCGACGAGAAGGUUAUUAUGGCUUCCUUUCAUAUGGAAAAUGAAGCACUUCAAUGGUUUCAAUGGGUGAACUGCGUCAAAAACUACCCUAAAUAGGAAGACUUUACAAAGAUUUUUUGCAAGGUAUUCGGUUCUUCUGACCUUAUGGAUUGCACUGAAAAUUUGGUGAAACUUUGCCAAUCUGGAUUGCUAAGGGACUACAUCAUGGAAUUCCGACGGUUGGCAAAUCGCACUAUGGAAAUGACCCUUGGACUCUUGAAAAGCUGUUUCAUUGGAGGUUUGAAGCCAGAAAUUUGCCACAAUGUCAAAAUUCUGAGACCAUUCGAUGUUCAUGAAGCCAUUGCUUAUUCUCAACAAGUGGAUGCCAAAUUGGCUGAAUUAAAGGUUCGAUCUUUUCCAAGAAGCCUUCCCUCGGCAUCUCAAUUCAAGCCUACACAGUUAUUUGAUAUCACCAACACGCAAAAGACUGAGCCUUCUUCAAGAAAUGAAAGUUUUAGGCGCUUAACAGCAGCAGAAAUUGAAUUUCGAAGGAAGAACAUGUUGUGUUUUAAUUGUGAUGAAAUUUUUUCCAGAGAGCAUGUGUGUGCGGGUCCAAAACGUCAAGUACUACUCAUGGAUUUGUAUGAAAAUGGAGACCUUAUUGAGCAUCAUUCUGAUGACAAUGAAGAGCCUGAGGUAACUGCCUGUGCAGUUUAUGGAAUGCCUGCUCCAAAAUCCAUCAGAACAAUGAAAGCCAGUGGGUUAGUACUCAAUGGUCCUGCUAUUUUUCUAACAGAUUCAUGUAGCUCACAUAAUUUCAUUGACAUCUUACUCGUCAAACAACUAAAGGGUCAUUUAGAUACCACACACCCAUUAACUGGGAAGAUUGCAAAUGGGGGAUCCCUUAUUAGUCCUGGAUGUUUAGCUCAUGUUUCUAUUUGCCUACAAAAUUAUGCAACUGUGCCUGAUUUCUAUGCUCUUCCUUUGUGUGGAUGUGAUAUUGUUUUGGGCGUACAAUGGUUAAGAACAUUGGGACCAAUACUAUGGGACUUUGACAAGAUGAUUAUGCAGUUUGUAGUUGGCAACACCACUUUUUCCAUAUCAAGUCCUCAGUCUCAAGAACCUCAAUCCAUUUCUUCCUUACAAAUGGAUUAGUUGCUCAACCAUGAACAUUGCUUAGGGGCUGCUUUAUUUGUUUUGCAAGUUAGUGCAGACAACACACCUCCAUCUACUCAUUCUCAGUUGGAUUCUUAUCAAGAUAAUGAGGCAACAACAAUUUUAUUUAUUUAUUUUUAAGGAAAAUCCGCAAAAACCAAAAAAAAAGUAUAAUAAUUAAUGUGAAAAUGAUAGAUUUUGAAAGCACGAAGGGAAAACAAAGUGCCAAGACAUUCAGGCAGGAGGGGGACCAGAUUGGAAGCCAUCGAUGAACGGACGAAAGUGGCCACUAUGCUCCCAUACCCAACAUAACCAUACUAAUCAACCCAAAUUUCAUGUUUUUUCUACCAUACACCGGAGCAUUAGAUGCACCGGGAUCUUUAAUCGUUGGAUUAUUAGUUGUUGGAUCUUUGACUGCACAUUCAACAGUUGAUGGCAGUUAGUCACAUGAGCAUAUUAUGACGUGGUUCAUUCUAAAUUUUUUGUAAAUUUCAUGCAUCAAUUGAAUUGUAAGCUCAUCUGCCCAGCUCCACUGCCUUAUUUUUCAAUUGAUGAAACGCUACUGUUUCAAAUACAUAUGCAACGCUACAUGAAAAAACUUAAAAUACGUGAAGUUAUGUUAUUGGUUCGACAUGUCAUGGUUACAUCCUAAAGAAAGUUGAUAGAGGACUAUCUUAGCUCUACACUAGGUGAAGUUCUUGCAUAGGAUGCUCGCAUGGGACCCAUGUGUGGGGGCCCACCUUACACGUGGAAGUGCUGCAAACAUACAUUUGUUUGCUAGAAUUUAUUCUCAUUAGAAUAAUUUACAUGACAUGGGUACACAAUUAUGUGGCAUCCCGUGCUAAUGAAAUACAAACAUGUAAACAAAAAUGUUACACGUCUUUAUUUCUCGGUGCGGGACAUGACCAUGGCAUUGUACCCGUACCAUGUAAGUCCUCGUACCUAUAUUAUAUGCCUAACAUUAAAAGAAAGCCGAGUCUUGGUAGUCGCAUAGACAGAUGAAGUUGAAAACGAAAUCCACGAAAGCAUGCAUUUUACAUCAGAAAGCUCAAAUGUAGUAUGUUGGACAUUUACAACUAAAACUCUGCCAGCAUAAUUCAUAAACCAGUAUUGGAUCCUACAUCCAAGAGCAAAGGAUGCACCUUCUGUUUCUAAAACAAUCAUCAUUCCUGACGCGUCUUCUCAUCCGGCGGAGAUUCCAGAUAGGCGAUUACAAGUUCAGCUGCUUUGCAUCCAGAAGCUAUUGCUUUGCCAACUGAGAGUCCGCCCCGAUGGUUACCUGCAAUAUUCAUAAUUUGUACACCAACAUAUACCAAAGGAAAAUAAUUAACCACCAUAAGGACACCAUCAUUCAUCAAGAUCUAGAGUUACUGCGUCCACAACACCCAGUUGGUGAGUAAUUUACCUGCAUAGAAGAACCCGGGGAGAUUUUUCUCCAUCUUCUCAAUUGCUUCGAUAACUGAAUCAUAGUUACGCCCGUACAAUGGAAAUGCUUUGCUCCAGUGGUAAUGGCUGCCAUUAAGUGUACUUCAAGCUAUAAGAUGACUAUUCAAAUCAACGGUAAAUACGUAGGCUCUAAAUAUAUUCGUUUCCAUUAUUUGCUUUGUUUAAACCACUAGAUGCGAAAAGAGAGAGAAUUACAUACUUCACGGAUGUAGGCUCGCCUUCUGCUCCUAGCAAGUGCCUAAUGUCAGAGGUAACAAUCUUCUUCAAUUCAUCCCUAGAGAAAUAGUUAGAAGUAGAAGAGUAUUAGCUGUGCAAAGUUAUAUCGUCCUUCCAUGAGUAUGAAUGUGUGCAUAAAUAAUAAGGAAAACUAACGAAAAAUCCAAAAAAACUUCACUUUUAACGAAAAGCCCUUUUUAAAGGUAUAGUGAAUAGUGCCAGUUAAAGGUAAAAAUAUGGUUUUUCGUUAAAAGUGAACAGUACCAGAAGUGUUUUGUUAAAACUCCCAUAAUAAUAUAGAACCAAUCGCACAAUAUCAAAGGACAGAGAACAUGGCUGUUUUGAAAAAUUAUUAAGAUUUCACAUACGUUGAAGCUUUUGCUAGUUCCUUGUUUCGACUUCCCCCAACAAAGGUAGUAUAAAGAUGCAGGUCACUAGGUGCACGAUCUGGAAACAUCAUGGAUGAAAAGAGAGUGCCUGUGCAGCAGUAGUAAGCAUAUUAGGAGAAUGUGUUAGUAACUCAAUGUCACCGGGCCAUGCCAAGCAUUACCAAGAGUUUUUAAGCCAUUUUUCUGCUCUUUAGAGGGCACAAGAACUCCAAAUCCCUCAAGGGGUCUCUUAACAUCUUCCUUCUUGAAGGUCGUUAUUAUCACUGAUAGUGGUAUAUAAGUAACCUGCAAUAGACAGCAAAAAAUAAGAUGAUGCUAGUACUUCAGCAACUUCUUUUUCGGGUAGAGAACCAAAAUGUCACAAAUACCUCAGGAAAAAAAUCAAGAGGGAAGAGAGUUCCUCUUUUCGUGAUAUUCAUUUCUUUGACGUUACACAGUGGAGCCUAUGGCAGAGAAGAACUUUGUCAGUUAAUAUUAGUAUUCCUUCCAAUAUAGUAAACAUUAUAUGAAGUACGGGAGGGCAGGUGUGUGUAUGCAUAGACUAGACAGAAAGAGCAGUUACAGUUCAACUCGAAUAAAUGGUAAAGCUAAAGUUCACUUGCAUGUCAAAAUGUAGAACACGGUGAACCAUGCGAAAUAUAUUUCUUCUAUUGGUACCACUUGGUCAUGGCACCUAACAAUUGCAAGCAUCUAACAAUUGCAAUGAAGCAGUUGAAGCAUAUAUGUUUCUUUUAAUCUACUAGUUCUAUCUUGAUCUUCCCAAAACAUAACAUUUUCGGACAGUAACCAUGUCAGAUGCAGAGAAGGCACACUUUGUGCAGCAAAACGACAUGGUAACCACCAGGUGCCCCAAUAAGAAAGUAAAUAAACCACCAAAGCCAUGUUUUUAGAGUACUAAAAUAUACUAACCGUCAUGACUACAGCGUCGACAGAUAAACUUUGUGAAUGCUUGUCAUCCUUAGCAGCAGAGGAAACAGACCAAUUUUCAAACGCAGACUUCCCAUCAUGACUAUAAGAUAAUGACAAAACCUUUGAGUUCAGUUUAACCUCAUCUUUGCCAAGCUCAUUGCAUAAGGUAUCGGUGAGUGUCUGCACAGAAAACAGAACACAAGGGUAAAACAUUUAGUUUUGAAAAUAGACUCUGCCUCUAAGAUCUGAACCAAAUGUUAUUGCAACUGAAGUUGUAAAUUUAAUAGGGAAAACAUAACAGAAUACGAGGAACAUUCUACAUAAGGUAUCAAAAAGAAAACAUGAACUACAAAAGUAGUCAUGAGUCAUGAACCAUGAAUAAGAAAAGCAACCAAUAAAUUGAAACCUGCAUUCCACCAUGAAAGGAAAAUGAACCCCGCUGACGCUUCCCUUUUUCUACAGAACCCUUUGUUUGUCCACUUUUUUCCUUUUUGGCAGAUAAUUUUGAUUUAAUUGCCCCAGAUAUAACGGAACCAAACCUGACAUAAUAGCAUAGUGUUACUUAACAUCAAACGUAGAUCAUGCAACAAGCAUCAACUACACAAGAAAAGAAGUCAAACAGGCUAAACAAAUUAUGUCUUAUUUGAAGGAUGAGAAAACUUGACACAGAAGUUUCCUAUUUAACCUUCAACUUUCAAAAACGCCAAUCCUUUUUUUAGCUAGUGACAUAGGCUUGUGACUAAACAGGGCAUUAAAGUGAUUCGUUGAUUGAAGCCUAACCAGGUUGAAUGUGGAGCUUUUUCUGUUCACUUCGGAAAAGUCAUAGAAAGCAUGACUCUAAACCCUUGGGUUAGUGUGGAUUUCUAUCCACAAUGAGUAGAUAACGAAAACACUGGCCUAUUUUCCAAAUGAACAUAAACUUAUGAAAGAAAAAGGUGUCAACUAAUCUAAUUAACAGAAUCACAAUGCCUAUUCUAGUCCUAAGCAAUAAUUUGGAAAAUUUCCCACAACCUACACUAAAAGUAGGAUAGGCAAGGAAAAUAAUAAGCAAAAAUGAUCUUUGUUAACAAAUGAAAAAAGAAAACUUAGAUACCUUUUUUCCAUGUUCCAUAAAUCCGGAAAAGAAUGGCGCAUCUUCAAACAGAAUCACAUGGCAACACAAAAGAAUUAUUGAAAACAUAAGAAGAUUCAUGAGAUAAAUGCAUGGAAAAGGCAUAAAUACAGAUUUUGGGUUACAAUUGACUAGUUAAGAAACAAUCCCAUUAGCCACUCAGUGUGAAAUAUGCACAAAGAUUGAGACAUUACUCACAGAAAGUGAUUCGGGAUCUCCACCACUUGUGCCGGCAACAAAGGGGUCAAUGAGAUAAUCAACAACCU